Molecule: long non-coding RNA, 625 nt
Organism: Sciurus carolinensis (gray squirrel)
Lineage: Eukaryota; Metazoa; Chordata; Mammalia; Rodentia; Sciuridae
Exons: 3
Source: RefSeq, a predicted model, not a curated record
UGGAGAGAAGGGAGAAAGCUGGGUAUGGGAACAGAAGGAAAUAUGGACCAACAAAAUUUAGAUUUGGAACCACGGUGCAUAGGUUCCUGACCAGAGGACUCGCUUAGCCAGCUUUAUCAAUAUUUCCUCCUGCGGAAAAGCCAAACCCGCGAAUGCGGUGCAGAAGCUACCCAGAAGCUCUUGUGCGUCGGAGGGUGUGAAAGCACCGCCGACUGCGGCCCGCUGACAGGAUGACCCCAGCGCGCCAAGGCCAGCUGCAUGCAGCCUGCUGGCGGCGUGUCAGCUUCCUCGAAAAAGCGGAGAAGUGGAAUCUGCACACCCAGAAACUCGCUUCAGGAGCCUUAGGAGUCCAACUGAGCAUGCUCGGAACUUGGGGGCGCCUUGCAUCAAGGCACUUUCCAGCCGCUAACAUCUGCAUGGCUGGGCCAGAUGUGACCAAAGUGGGAGGCGUUGGCCCUGCUUCUUGGAGCAGGCUCCAGUUCCGGGAAGGGUGGUGGCGACGCCCAUAGCAGCCUUCUUCCCGGCUUCCUAGCGAGAGCAAGACCGUGGGAGAUACCAAGUGGCGAGCCAGGGGAGCCGGACGAGCUGGAAAAAAAAUUCAAGAGUCUUGCGGACUCCCAAACCC